Drosophila gunungcola (fruit fly) is the source of this 1384-nucleotide long non-coding RNA. RefSeq lists it as uncharacterized. The transcript has 3 exons. The record is from RefSeq and is a predicted model, not a curated record. NCBI's taxonomy places the organism in Eukaryota, Metazoa, Arthropoda, Insecta, Diptera, Drosophilidae.
AUAUUCCUAGCAGCUAAAUUGUGCUUUGGUUGCACUCGAGGUCCUUGACAAACAAUCAGGUAAACAAAAGGCAAACUUUGUUGGCAAAAUUAAAUAUAUACGACCGUUGUGAAUCACAAACACAUAGCGGGGUAUAUUGUUAUACACUGAAUGAGGGAAAGAGAGACCUUCCACGCGCAAACUGAUCUAUCGGCAAACUGUCGAAGAAUUGUUGAUACCGAUACCACUAACAAAGCCGCCAUAUACAUAGGCCAGCCUGACGGACCUUUCAUGCAUGUUCGCACAUACAUGACCGUAGCCACAGCCAUACCCACAGGCAUACCCCUACCCAUAUCCACAACCAUACCCACUCGCAUGCCCAAACCCAUAUCCACACCACGCCCAGGCCAGGGUCUUGCCAACAUUCAGAUAUCCCCAAAUAGGUGCAUACCUGGUGCAUCGCACUGUCCGAUAAUUGGUAGUACUGCCUUCAUGUUGGCAAUUACGAUCCUCCCACCAGUCGAAGGCACUCUCUUCACCCGGCGCUCCAUUCGGGGACUUUUGAGUGGCGCUCUCGGCAAAUGGUUCGCCAUUAGUCGAAGAGAUAUUGAUAAUGUCGAUAACACCACCAGUAUCUUAUCGUUCAGCAUUGAACGGACACACACAUUCGCGGGCUUACAGGCAAACCCCGGCAAACCUCGGCAAACCUCGCGUUGCGUUGAACUGCCCCCUUGACUCACUCAUCCCGGUUCACAUGGCUGUGGCGUCUGUGCACCCCAACUAUCCCCAACACUAUCCACUGGCCCAACAGAAGAGACCAUGGCCAAACCCUAUCUGCCCUUUGACAUGAAUCUUGGAUUUAACAACACCUAAUUUGUCAUAUUAAUGUUUUAAUGGAAACCCUGCUCUUACCAUUCCGAAUCUUGUGAUGAAGACCGAAGGAAACGAAGGAUACAGCAGCACAUCGCAGAAAGAAAUUAAACCCAUUUAUAAUCAAAGAUGGCUACAGAAAAGUUCCCCAAAACUACCCUUCUAGUGGCUAUAGCUCUAAAUCAUAGUUUAAAUCACUUAACCAAACAAAUCCCGACUUCAAAGAGGAACAUUAUACUUCUUAAUUUCCUUGUACAUUUUAAUUUAAGCUACUUAUAGAAUUAUUUCAUAUGACUGUCAUAGGAUAGAUCUAGCCAGAUCUAAAAAAAAAGCUCUCAUUAAAUUAGAAAGAGCAUCAUACCAAGUUUUCCAUUUUUAUAUGAAAUAUAUAUCCUAGGCGGAAUGGCGAUUUUUUGUCAUAAACUAAAGAUAUCCCCUUAAUAAGUUGCGCAUAUGUUUUGAAUGUUUUUGUGGAAAUUCGGGUUUCGUUAAUUUUUAAAUUCAACCACGCCUCAAUGGCAAUAUUGCCGUUUUU